Molecule: long non-coding RNA, 281 nt
Filed under: Glycine max (soybean)
Lineage: Eukaryota; Viridiplantae; Streptophyta; Magnoliopsida; Fabales; Fabaceae
Description: long non-coding RNA (GMAX_LNC003603)
Source: RNAcentral
AGAAACCUCUUUCCAAGAAUCAGUAAGGUUGCUAACGCUUCUACGACGAUUACUAAACUCAAUGGCUAAUUGGUUAGCAUCAGGUAUUUCAGGCUCUUCCUUCCCUUUCUCACCCUUCUCUAGUGCAUCAGUUUCCACAUCGCUGCUAGAGGCCGUGUUGGAACCACAUGAGGAACGGUCAACCGGUUUUCUUCCCUUUGUUUUGUUGGAAUCAAGGUGCUCAGAAAUUGUUUUGUUCGUCUCAUGAUCAGUAACCUUUGAUGAAGUAUUUAACUUGGCAU